Raphanus sativus (radish) is the source of this 1241-nucleotide long non-coding RNA. RefSeq lists it as uncharacterized. The record is from RefSeq and is a predicted model, not a curated record. NCBI's taxonomy places the organism in Eukaryota, Viridiplantae, Streptophyta, Magnoliopsida, Brassicales, Brassicaceae. The transcript has 5 exons.
UCAUCUUUUCAAUCGCUUCGUCUUCAACAAAGUCGAUUUCUCUGUAAUCUCUGUUACCCCCAGCUCUUCUCAAUCAAUCAAAUAUGCUCUUUAAUACCUUAUUUACUGUUUUGUUCUACCUCCCACUCUGUCUCAUCAUCUAUAAGUUGCUACCAGCUUCGUCGAGACUCUCUUCCAAGCAAACUCCAAAACCUCUUUCCCUGUUACAGUGCCGUAAUUUUCUACAAGAGGACGACAUCUCAAAGAUCCGUCAUGAGUUUGAUCAGGCGAUACAGAGAUAGCUUCGUGGCGGCUCCAGAAUUUAAUUUAUACUCUGAUUCAGAUUUAAUUAUCUGAGCAGAAAGACCUUAGAACUAGAGGAAUAACCAAAAGAUUCACGUUGCUAUAUUUUAAAUGGCAGUGAGGUAACGUUGGUCUUAUUGAACUGCAGAUUCUUAAUCCACGUUGAGUGACUUGAGUCUCUGAUGCGAAAUUCAAACAGUGAAUUCAGCGUGGUAAUAUCACAGAUGAAGGAACAAGACUGUGCAUCCAGUUCUCAUGUCUUUACCGUUGGAAAGAAGUGGAAAAGUUGUCUUAGGAUGGAUCACAAAGGCUACAUCCAUGCAGUUAUUCAGCUCUGUGGAGUUUGAGGCAAUAAUAAUAAGGCUCUUGCCAAGGCAUUGUACCGACAACCAAGAAAAGAACAUAACACAGCCAUAGUCCUUGCUCACAGUUUCGAUUGCAUUGUAAGCAAAACUAUCCAGAAUGUUAAAUAUUUCUGUUAAAGUUAUAUUCUCAGACAUUGGAAAUCACUGUGGUUUUUACACAAUACAGUUCUAAACAUGGGGGAUUACAUGAGAGACGUACUUAUAUCUGCUGUUGCACCAGUUUUUAUGUUUUCUGUGUCGUUUGUUUUUUUCAGCCUUUGAGGCUCUGUUAUCUGUUUGCGAGCGACACCAUUCCUUUGCAUCCUUAAUACUCUUGAGGAUGAUCUCCUGGUCUGUGAAAGUCCUAUUCUCAAACACAAGCUUAUUUCUGGCUUCCCAUAAAUUCCAGAGAACCCAAGGCCACAAAGGAGAGAUUAAACCAGCUAAUUACAUGAGACCCACAUUCAUUUAAAAGAAUCUGACGUAGAGGAAAAGUCUGCCAUUAUAUAUAAUAAUACGAUAGCAGUGCCAUUGAACCUUGUUAAAGGAAAGACAAAAAAAUAAUAACAACGAAAUGUGUCUUUUUCACUUUUUAUUUAACAAAAACUUUAACUC